RNAcentral lists this ribosomal RNA (637 nucleotides) under uncultured eukaryote. Its description in RNAcentral is "SSU rRNA". It matches the Rfam family "Eukaryotic small subunit ribosomal RNA", at positions 601 to 1232 of the family's 1831-position model. The record is from RNAcentral.
GUACGUAAGUUGUUGCAGUUAAAAAGCUCGUAGUUGGAUCUCAGGCUUGUGGCCGGUGGUCCGCUCGAUACGGGUGUGCACUGCCGUGUCCGGCCUACGUCUGGUCUAACGUCCAUAGUGCCCUUAACCGGGUGCUAUGGAAUGCCAGAAAGUUUACUCUGAAAAAAUUAGAGUGCUCAAAGCAAGCCGUUUGUGCUUGAAUACUGUUGCAUGGAAUAAUGGAAUAGGACCUCGGUUCUAUUUUGUUGGUUUUCGGAGUCGAGGUAAUGAUUAAGAGGGACAGACGGGGGCAUUCGUAUUGCGCCGUUAGAGGUGAAAUUCUUGGAUCGGCGCAAGACGAACAACUGCGAAAGCAUUUGCCAAGGAUGUUUUCAUUAAUCAAGAACGAAAGUCAGAGGUUCGAAGACGAUCAGAUACCGUCGUAGUUCUGACCAUAAACGAUGCCAACUGGCGAUCCGCCGCAGUCUGGCUUAAAGGACUCGGCGGGCAGCCUCCGGGAAACCUAAGUCUAUGGGUUCCGGGGGGAAGUAUGGUUGCAAAGCUGAAACUUAAAGGAAUUGACGGAAGGGCACCACCAGGAGUGGAGCCUGCGGCUUAAUUUGACUCAACACGGGAAAACUCACCCGGCCAGGACACC